CCUACGUGAGGCAGCAGUAGGGAAUCUUCCACAAUGGGCGAAAGCCUGAUGGAGCAACGCCGCGUGGGUGAAGAAGGUCUUCGGAUCGUAAAACCCUGUUGUUAGAGAAGAAAGUGCGUGAGAGUAACUGUUCACGUUUCGACGGUAUCUAACCAGAAAGCCACGGCUAACUACGUGCCAGCAGCCGCGGUAAUACGUAGGUGGCAAGCGUUAUCCGGAUUUAUUGGGCGUAAAGGGAACGCAGGCGGUCUUUUAAGUCUGAUGUGAAAGCCUUCGGCUUAACCGGAGUAGUGCAUGGGAAACUGGGAGACUUGAGUGCAGAAGAGGAGAGUGGAACUCCAUGUGUAGCGGUGAAAUGCGUAGAUAUAUGGAAGAACACCAGUGGCGAAAGCGGCUCUCUGGUCUGUAACUGACGCUGAGGUUCGAAAGCGUGGGUAGCAAACAGGAUUAGAUACCCUGGUAGUC
RNAcentral lists this ribosomal RNA (465 nucleotides) under uncultured bacterium. Its description in RNAcentral is "partial 16S ribosomal RNA". It matches the Rfam family "Bacterial small subunit ribosomal RNA", at positions 338 to 795 of the family's 1533-position model. The record is from RNAcentral.